RNAcentral lists this unclassified non-coding RNA (161 nucleotides) under uncultured Arthrinium. RNAcentral describes it as "sequence contains ITS1". Lineage: Eukaryota; Fungi; Ascomycota; Sordariomycetes; Amphisphaeriales; Apiosporaceae. The record is from RNAcentral.
UAGAGUUUCUAAAACUCCCAACCCAUGUGAACUUACCUUUGUUGCCUCGGCGGAGCCUACCCUGUAGCUACCCUGUAAGGGCCUACCCUGUAGCGAUCCGCCGGUGGAAUUCUAAACUCUUGUUAUUUCAGUGAAUCUGAGCGUCUUAUUUUAAUAAGUCA